RNAcentral lists this ribosomal RNA (305 nucleotides) under uncultured bacterium. RNAcentral describes it as "bacterial SSU rRNA". It matches the Rfam family "Bacterial small subunit ribosomal RNA", at positions 335 to 637 of the family's 1533-position model. The record is from RNAcentral.
GAUCCUACGGGAGGCAGCAGUGAGGAAUAUUGGUCAAUGGCCGGAAGGCUGAACCAGCCAAGCCGCGUGAAGGACGAAGGUGCCAAGCAUUGUAAACUUCUUUUGUCAAGGGACAAAAUCAGGCUCGAGAGCCUGACCGAGGGUACUUGAAGAAAAAGCAUCGGCUAACUCCGUGCCAGCAGCCGCGGUAAUACGUAGGUGGCAAGCGUUGUCCGGAAUUACUGGGUGUAAAGGGAGCGUAGGCGGGAAGCCAAGUCAGCUGUGAAAACUACGGGCUUAACCUGUAGACUGCAGUUGAAACUGGC